RNAcentral lists this ribosomal RNA (1011 nucleotides) under Lysinibacillus macroides. RNAcentral describes it as "bacterial SSU rRNA". It matches the Rfam family "Bacterial small subunit ribosomal RNA", at positions 487 to 1466 of the family's 1533-position model. Lineage: Bacteria; Bacillati; Bacillota; Bacilli; Caryophanales; Bacillaceae. The record is from RNAcentral.
AAAGACNACGGCUAAGCUUCGUNCCAGCACCCGGCCGGUAAUACGUAGGUGAGUCAAGCGCUGUACUUAGAAAUUAUUCGGGCGUAAAGCGCGCGCUACGGCGCUCUCUUUACAGUCUCAAUGUGAAACAUCCACGGGCUCUAACCGUGGAGCAGUUCAUUGCGAAAACUGGGGCAGUUUGAGUGUAGACAGAGGAGAGGUGGAAUUCUCACGUGUAGCGGUGAAAUAGCGUAUAGAUAUGGAGGAAACACCCAGUGGAGAGGGGGACGCUUCUGGUCUCUAACUGAGCCUGAGGCGUGAAAGAGUGGGGAGCGCACACGAUUUGAUAUCCCUUUUUUUCCCGCCCUAUACGCGGAGUGAUAAGUGAUAGGGGGCCUUCGCCCCUUAGUGUCGCAGGUAACGCAUUAAGCACUCCGCCUGGGGAGUACGGUCGCAAGACUAAAAAUCAAAAGAAUUGACGGGGGCCCGCACCAGCGGUGGAGCAUGUGGUUUAAUUUGAAGCAACGCGAAGAACCUUACCCGGUCUUGACAUCCCAUUGACCUUUCCAGAGAUAUAUUUUCCCUUUCGGGAGCAAGAAACACGGAUGGUGCAGGGUUUUGUUCAUCUGGUUUCGUGAAAUUUGGGUUUAAGUCCUGCAACGAGCCAACCCUUACCUUUUAGUUCCCCUCAUUAAGUUGGGCACUCUAAGGAGACUGCCGGUGACAAACCGGAGGAAGGUGGGGAUGACGUCAAGUCAUCAUGGCCCUUAUGACCUGGGCUACACACGUGCUACAAUGGACGAUACAAAGGGUAGCCAACUCGCGAGAGGGAGCUAAUCCCAUAAAGUCGAUCUUAGUUCGGAUUGUAGUCUGCAACUCGACUACAUGAAGUCGGAAUCGCUAGUAAUCGAGGAUCAGCAUGCCACGGUGAAUACGUUCCCGGGCCUUGUACACACCGCCCGUCACACCCCGGGAGUGGGUAUCACCAGAAGUCGGUGACGUAACCUANGGAGGCAGCCUUCCGAAGAUGGA